CCGUCAAAUGUCUUAAGAUCUAUAGAGCCCUUUUGAUUUUUCUAUGGCAACAUUUGCUAUGCUGACGUCAUUGCCACGUCAUUACUGUCAGUCAGACAGAAAUAAAAGAAAAAUGGAUGCCGUUCAGACGUACACGCAUUAUUUGGAACUGAAAAUUACGUAAUUUAUCGACCUGCUGGCUUGUAUUUGUUAUAAAUCAUAAAAAAAUUAUGGAAAACAUCAUGAACAAUAAUGAAACAAACCGAACCUUUAGCUACAAUAAUAAAAUGACCCCAUGACGCCAGUGGAACUACGUGGUUUUCUUCCAUGAUGAUUUGAUGAUACCACAAUGGAAUUAGCCAAGUUUUCGCCGUAUUGGGUGCUAGAUGCCCCUUGGAGUUAAGCCCCAGUGUGACUAUACUACCUUACCAGUUAUGUGUGGGUGUCCUAAGGCACCCCAGAGAUGCAAAGGACCUUCACAAACUCACGCCACGCCUUCCUAUCUUCAGCAACCCUCGUGACCUCGCUCCACCAGCUCAAACCUGCCACUCGCAGCUCCUUUUCGACGGACCGCUUCCAUGAGUAGACAAAGCACCGACGAUCACGGCUUGCAUCACCUGUACUGCUAUGUAAUAUAGUAUGCUGAACACCGCUGCCAUUAUACUAGGAACAACGUCCUGCCCCUUCCCCGGCUGUGUACAAAUUGGAAUUCCAUGCCCCUGCAUGCCCCUUUGACUGAGCAACAUGUGUGUGCUCGAAACACAUUCAAUUGCAACAAAAUGACUCCCAGGCUGACCUGGCUCAGCUCUUGUAUGUCUGAUCUACAUAGACAAUGGUUUCAAUGAAAGAGUGAAAAUUCUUCUCCAUGUACAAUCACUUUCAACGCCUACACUGACUACACCAAAUAUGAUCAUCACUCAACGUGUCUCACAUCAAGAUACUUUUCAAAAGUCAUCAAGAAGUGGAACAAUAUUUUUUUUUUCCAUUAUUGCCUGAAUAAUCCUAACUAAAAGUUAUUUCUCUAUUCUAUUUUUCCUGCAUGGAGUGGCGCUUUUCCGUCUAAUGGAACCAACAAGAACAUGUAUGCUCUGGGUUUUUAUUGUGCACCUUUCCAAUAUUACUAAUAAAGCAUUU
This 1113-nucleotide long non-coding RNA is filed under the name Leguminivora glycinivorella. RNAcentral's name for it is "uncharacterized LOC125241673". Lineage: Eukaryota; Metazoa; Arthropoda; Insecta; Lepidoptera; Tortricidae. The record is from RNAcentral.